CAAGUCCGCCGAAUUGCAGUUUUCCGGCGAGAUCGAUCUUGUCUGAAGUUUUAGGUGGAGGUUGUUGCUCGACGAGAUCGAUUUGAAGGUCUAGGCAGCAAUCUCCACCCAAAACUUCAGACAAGAUCGAUCUCGCCUGAAAACUGCAAUUUGGCGGACUUG
RNAcentral lists this microRNA precursor (162 nucleotides) under Fragaria vesca subsp. vesca. Its description in RNAcentral is "Fragaria vesca miR11297 stem-loop (fve-MIR11297)". The record is from miRBase by way of RNAcentral. Lineage: Eukaryota; Viridiplantae; Streptophyta; Magnoliopsida; Rosales; Rosaceae.